AGGGGUAGGGGAGCGUUGAAUGCGGGUUGAAGGUGUACCGGAAGGAGCGCUGGACUGCAUUCAAGUGAGAAUGCCGGUAUGAGUAACGAAAAGAUCUGUGAGAAUCAGAUCCGCCGAAAGCCUAAGGGUUCCUGAGGAAGGUUCGUCCGCUCAGGGUAAGUCGGGACCUAAGGCGAGGCCGAUAGGCGUAGUCGAAGGACAACAGGUGGAAAUUCCUGUACCACCGUAAUCCGUGAUGAGCGAUGGGGUGACGCAGUAGGGUAGUGACGCGGACUGAUGGAUGUCCGUCUAAGCAGUGAGGCUGAUGUGUAGGCAAAUCCGCACAUCGUUAAGGCUGGGCUGUGAUGGGGAGCGAAAAUUAUAGUAGCGAAGGUCAUGAUCUCAGACUGCCAAGAAAAGCCUCUAGCCAGGAGAAGGUGCCCGUACCGCAAACCGACACAGGUAGGCGAGAAGAGAAUUCUAAGGCGCGCGGAAGAACUCUCGUUAAGGAACUCGGCAAAAUGACCCCGUAACUUCGGGAGAAGGGGUGCCUCGGUAGGGUGAAUAGCCUGAGGGGGCCGCAGUGAAAAGGCCCAAGCGACUGUUUAGCAAAAACACAGGUCUGUGCGAAGCCGCAAGGCGAAGUAUACGGGCUGACGCCUGCCCGGUGCUGGAAGGUUAAGGGGAGUGGUAAGCCUUCGGGCGAAGCUAUGAACCGAAGCCCCAGUAAACGGCGGCCGUAACUAUAACGGUCCUAAGGUAGCGAAAUUCCUUGUCAGGUAAAUU
Molecule: ribosomal RNA, 765 nt
Filed under: Paenibacillus sp. ICGEB2008
Lineage: Bacteria; Bacillati; Bacillota; Bacilli; Caryophanales; Paenibacillaceae
Description: bacterial LSU rRNA
Rfam family: Bacterial large subunit ribosomal RNA
Source: RNAcentral